This 1795-nucleotide long non-coding RNA is filed under the name Homo sapiens (human). RNAcentral describes it as "HSALNT0133350". Lineage: Eukaryota; Metazoa; Chordata; Mammalia; Primates; Hominidae. The record is from RNAcentral.
GUUUUGUAGAAGCAAAGCUCCACCUCAAGAAGCCAGAGCUCAGGAGGCAGAGAAGGCCAGGAGAACAUAACUGCACUUCAACCCUAAAUAAACAUCAGCCAAAAUUGGGGGGAGGAUUUUGGACUUGAAGGUAUGAGGAAAUUUGGAAAGGGAGAAGCUUGGAUAUUCCAAGAAAUGAAGCUUAAACCUCAAGAAAACAUUUUGAUAACUUUAAAAUUUCAAGUGUGUUCUCUCGUUCUCUUUCCUUCAGCUGCCUGGCAAGAAUGCGGACAUAAUUGUAGUUAAUUGUCUUGGAUAUGUAGAUAAAAGCAACUCACUAACGAGGAAUAAGAUUGAAAACGUCUUGUCUCCUGGUACUAGAGAGUUAACCAAGAAGUCCUGGACAACAUUCUCCUAGACAAUCAGGUGGUGUUGCCAUAUCCUUCUGAUCUUUGAAUCUGAACUGGCCUUGGUGGCUCAGUAGUAAUGAACAGACAUAAAGGAACAAAAGUGACACUGCGUGCCUUCAGAAGCUAGAUCAUUAAAAAUAGCACUGCUUUUGCUCUGCCCACUGGAGCACUCAGGCUUGGACCCAUGAGCCACCAUAGUGGAACCACUCUGAUAUUGAUAUGCUGUGAAGAAACUCAAUCCACUGAAGAAACCACAGGUAGGGGCUCUAGUUGAAAGGUCCAGUUGUUAAAUUAACUCGCAUUACCUCUUGUCCCUCAAAGCUGCCUUAAGGCUUAUUUUGGAGUCACAUUGCUAAGCCUUGGGUUUUUAUGUCCUUAAUUUGUUAAUCAGUGUAUUUUCUGAGAUUUACCAGGAAAUGCAGUUGACAGCACAGUUCCAAUAAUUAUUGGAAGAACAAGGUCAGAAGUUCAAAAAGAAAAGGAAAGAAAAAGAUAAAAAGAAAACAGAAAAGAAAAGAAAAAGAAGAAAAGAAAAAAGGAAAUCUGGUACAAAACACGGGCCAAGGGUCUUUAGCAUUCCCAGAGGGAAACUUGGACAGAAAUUCAAACAAAAAAGCUUUUAAAAAGCUGACACUGUAUUGUAUACUUAGUUUAAUGCUAAAUAUGUAUCUUUAUCUAGCAAUAAUUAAAGACUGAAGGAACAUUUUUUGUUUGAUACUUUUUGAUAUGCAUUAUUAGUCAUUCACACUUCUAUGUAUUUAGCCACUCACCAAGGAAAGCUUCUUGUGAGAAGUGUUAUACUUGAACAGCUAUAAAUUGGCUGAAUUUUUUAAAAAUGGAAAUUGAAAGAUAGCCAUCCCACCUUCACAUAGCAGUCUAAAACUGGAUAAAGCAUUAUGCUAUAAGUUUUAUUUCAUACUUAAUAAUAAAGUUGGAAUGUGCAAAUUAUUGCUACCCUACAAUUGUGAUAUAAAAUAUUCUGAACCACGUUUGACAGUCCAAGCUUUCUAAAUUUCAAAAAUUAACAUUAUAGGCACACUGACUUUCUUUUAGAGUCCAAAAUUCCAAAAGGCAAGAAUAACGUACAAAUGCUUUUGAAGUCAGAUAGAUGCUGGUCAGGUAUGAUUAAAAACAUUUUGCCUUUGUUUAAUCAAUUAAUUUUUAUAUCAUCCAAACACGCAAGCAAAUCUUUAAGAUAUGUGAUUGUUUGUUGCAUUUAUAAAUUUGUGUUUGGCUCUAAUCUGAAGGCGUUUGUAACAAAUGUGUCUCCUAAUAGAGUGGCUUUUCUUCUGGGGUGGAUACAGUUCUCCAGUGGCACCAGAGACUUCAAGCACACUGCUGACAGACAAGAGGCUGUCAGUUUAACAGAGUCCUAUCACAUAGUAAAUCAAUACGUUAACCCACAG